AAUUACAACUAAAUUGUCCGCGACACGAGAAAAACAAACAUAGGCUAAAUCCUGAAAGGUGAAGAAGACCACGUUUUCUGUUGCUGUCUUUUUCAUGUUGUUACCUUGCUGUACAGUUAAGCAAGCAGCCCAUAUGCCAUAAUAAUCACAAACAAAAGCUUGUUGCUUUGAAUAUGCGUGACCAGAGCAGAGGCAUAUUCUCUAAGAAACAACUUGGUUGCUUUUCUAUAUUCAAU
RNAcentral lists this long non-coding RNA (236 nucleotides) under Lathyrus oleraceus (garden pea). RNAcentral describes it as "Pisum sativum (pea) long non-coding RNA (PSAT_LNC030694)". Lineage: Eukaryota; Viridiplantae; Streptophyta; Magnoliopsida; Fabales; Fabaceae. The record is from RNAcentral.